ACGUCGGUGGUUCAGUGGUAGAAUACUCGCCUGCCACGCGGGUGGCCCGGGUUCGAUUCCCGGCCGACGCA
This 71-nucleotide transfer RNA is filed under the name Dermacentor andersoni. RNAcentral's name for it is "transfer RNA glycine (anticodon GCC)". It matches the Rfam family "tRNA". From Rfam's summary of the family: Transfer RNA (tRNA) molecules are approximately 80 nucleotides in length. Their secondary structure includes four short double-helical elements and three loops (D, anti-codon, and T loops). The record is from RNAcentral. Lineage: Eukaryota; Metazoa; Arthropoda; Arachnida; Ixodida; Ixodidae.